This 646-nucleotide unclassified non-coding RNA is filed under the name uncultured Prochlorococcus sp. Its description in RNAcentral is "partial 16S-23S ribosomal RNA intergenic spacer; may also contain 16S ribosomal RNA and 23S ribosomal RNA". The stretch from base 305 to 377 matches the Rfam family "tRNA". The record is from RNAcentral. Lineage: Bacteria; Bacillati; Cyanobacteriota; Cyanophyceae; Synechococcales; Prochlorococcaceae.
UUGUGGAGGAGGACGCCGAAGGUGGGGCUAAUGACUGGGGUGAAGUCGUAACAAGGUAGCCGUACCGGAAGGUGCGGCUGGAUCACCUCCUAACAGGGAGACAACAAAAUGUUUAAUAUUAUUAUUUUGUCACCUUAGGUCGAUCGGUAUCUCACGUUCUUAAUUUAUUAAGAAUUUCAUUUCCUAAGUUUUUCUAGGUCACACCCAUUAUUUUUCCUGGGCCAUUAGCUCAGGUGGUUAGAGCGCACCCCUGAUAAGGGUGAGGUCCCUGGUUCAAGUCCAGGAUGGCCCAUAUCUCUAUGUUGGGGGUAUAGCUCAGUUGGUAGAGCGCCUGCUUUGCAAGCAGGAUGUCAGCGGUUCGAGUCCGCUUACCUCCACUGAUUACCACCUCUUCCAUAAUCUGUAGAAAGGAAAAAUUUUGAGUUGUGAUUACAAUUCUGAACGAAUCUAGCUUCCUAAUGAAAUCAUUAAGAUGCUGGACUCAUUGAAUUAAUUUCAUUGUUUUCAGAGAACCUUGACAACUGCAUAGAUUAUUUUUAAAGACAAUAAGCAUCUUUAUGAUGCAGAUUUAUUAUUUGUGCAAAUGCAUUAAUAACAAUUCUAUUAAGCUGAUGCUUCAAAUUUGAAGUUAUUGGUCAAGCUACAA